This 160-nucleotide non-coding RNA is filed under the name Candidatus Omnitrophota bacterium. RNAcentral describes it as "6S RNA". It matches the Rfam family "6S / SsrS RNA". From Rfam's summary of the family: E. coli 6S RNA was the first non coding RNA to be sequenced, but its function was unknown until recently. It consists of 184 nucleotides that fold into an extended hairpin structure with a large single-stranded internal bulge. The record is from RNAcentral. Lineage: Bacteria; Pseudomonadati; Candidatus Omnitrophota.
AAUUCCCUGCAGUGCCCGUUAGGAAAUAGAUGAUUGGUGAUCCAACACCAAAAUCAAGGGGGUCACAUGCUUCUUUAGCGCUUCGGCUCUAGAGAGACGACUCCCACCUGAAUCCAAGUAGGUUCAGCCAAUCAUGUCCAACGGCACAGGCGGGGAUUUU